RNAcentral lists this transfer RNA (110 nucleotides) under Dactylellina haptotyla CBS 200.50. It matches the Rfam family "tRNA". Rfam says of the family: Transfer RNA (tRNA) molecules are approximately 80 nucleotides in length. Their secondary structure includes four short double-helical elements and three loops (D, anti-codon, and T loops). Further hydrogen bonds mediate the characteristic L-shaped molecular structure. tRNAs have two regions of fundamental functional importance: the anti-codon, which is responsible for specific mRNA codon recognition, and the 3' end, to which the tRNAs corresponding amino acid is attached (by aminoacyl-tRNA synthetases). tRNAs cope with the degeneracy of the genetic code in two manners: having more than one tRNA (with a specific anti-codon) for a particular amino acid; and 'wobble' base-pairing, i.e. permitting non-standard base-pairing at the 3rd anti-codon position. The record is from Rfam by way of RNAcentral. Lineage: Eukaryota; Fungi; Ascomycota; Orbiliomycetes; Orbiliales; Orbiliaceae.
AGCCCAAUAACUCAGUGGUUAGAGUGUCGUUCUUAUAUGGGGAAUCUGGUGCAAAUCAGCUUCAUGUGCAGGAAAUGCGAAGGCCGCGGGUUCGAAUCCCGCUUGGACUA